AGAGUUUGAUCAUGGCUCAGGAUGAACGCUGGCGGCGUGCUUAAUACAUGCAAGUCGAACGGAAAGUAGCAAUACUUUUAGUGGCGAACGGGUGAGUAACGCGUUGGUGACCUGCCCCGAAGUGAGGGAUAACAGUUCGAAAGGACUGCUAAUACCACAUGUGGUUACGAGGUUUAGAAGCUUGUAACUAAAGCAGCAAUGCGCUUUGGGAGGGGCCUGCGUCCCAUCAGCUAGUUGGUGAGGUAAAAGCUUACCAAGGCGACGACGGGUAGGGGACCUGAGAGGGUGAUCCCCCACACUGGCACUGAAACACGGGCCAGACACCUACGGGUGGCAGCAGUAGGGAAUAUUGCACAAUGGGCGAAAGCCUGAUGCAGCAACGCCGCGUGUCCGAUGAAGGCCUUCGGGUCGUAAAGGACUUUUCUGGAGGACGAGGAAGGACGGUACUCCAGGAAUAAGGCUCGGCUAACUACGUGCCAGCAGCCGCGGUAAAACGUAGGAGCCUAGCGUUAUCCGAAUUCGCUGGGCGUAAAGCGCGUGCAGGCGGCAAGGCAAGUUGGAAGUGAAAUCUCCCGGCUCAACUGGGAGAGGACGUUCAAAACUGCCUGGCUAGAGGACGGUAGAGGGAGGUGGAAUUCCCGGUGUAGUGGUGAAAUGCGUAGAUAUCGGGAGGAACACCAGUGGCGAAAGCGGCCUCCUGGGCCGUACCUGACGCUCAGACGCGAAAGCUAGGGGAGCGAACGGGAUUAGAAACCCCGGUAGUCCUAGCCGUAAACGAUGUAGACUGGGUGUUGGUGGGGUAAAAGCCGCCAGUGCCGAAGCAAACGCGAUAAGUCUACCGCCUGGGGACUACGGCCGCAAGGUUAAAACUCAAAGGAAUUGACGG
This 886-nucleotide ribosomal RNA is filed under the name uncultured bacterium. Its description in RNAcentral is "bacterial SSU rRNA". It matches the Rfam family "Bacterial small subunit ribosomal RNA", at positions 8 to 916 of the family's 1533-position model. The record is from RNAcentral.